AGACGUCUACAUUAGAUACCCCCGUAGUCCCAGCCGUAAACUAUGCGCGUUAGGUGUAUCGGUGACCACGAGUCACCGAGGUGCCGAAGGGAAACCGUGAAACGUGCCGCCUGGGAAGUACGGCCGCAAGGCUGAAACUUAAAGGAAUUGGCGGGGGAGCACAACAACGGGUGGAGCCUGCGGUUUAAUUGGACUCAACGCCGGACAACUCACCGGGAACGACAGCAAUAUGUAGGCCAGGCUGAAGACCUUGCCUGAAUCGCUG
Molecule: ribosomal RNA, 265 nt
Filed under: uncultured archaeon
Lineage: Archaea
Description: partial 16S ribosomal RNA
Rfam family: Archaeal small subunit ribosomal RNA
Source: RNAcentral